CCUACGGGUGGCAGCAGUGGGGGAUAUUGCACAAUGGGGGAAACCCUGAUGCAGCGACGCCGCGUGGGCGAAGAAGUAUUUCGGUAUGUAAAGCCCUAUCAGCAGGGAAGAAGAAAUGACGGUACCUGAGUAAGAAGCACCGGCUAAAUACGUGCCAGCAGCCGCGGUAAUACGUAUGGUGCAAGCGUUAUCCGGAUUUACUGGGUGUAAAGGGAGCGCAGGCGGCACGGCAAGCCUGGAGUGAAAGCCCGGGGCCCAACCCCGGGACUGCGCUUGAAACUGGGUGGCUGGAGUGCAGGAGGGGCAGGCGGAAUUCCUGGGGUAGCGGUGAAAUGCGUAGAUAUCAGGAAGAACACCGGUGGCGAAGGCAGCCUGCUGGACUGCAACUGACGUUGAGGCCCGAAAGCGUGGGGAGCGAACAGGAUUAGAUACCCGGGUAGUC
This 442-nucleotide ribosomal RNA is filed under the name uncultured bacterium. Its description in RNAcentral is "partial 16S ribosomal RNA". It matches the Rfam family "Bacterial small subunit ribosomal RNA", at positions 338 to 795 of the family's 1533-position model. The record is from RNAcentral.